This 253-nucleotide ribosomal RNA is filed under the name uncultured bacterium. RNAcentral's name for it is "partial 16S ribosomal RNA". It matches the Rfam family "Bacterial small subunit ribosomal RNA", at positions 524 to 776 of the family's 1533-position model. The record is from RNAcentral.
UACGAAGGGGGCUAGCGUUGUUCGGAAUUACUGGGCGUAAAGGGCGCGUAGGCGGUCCUGAUCGUCGGAUGUGAAAGGCCUGGGCUCAACCUGGGAACUGCAUCCGAUACGGCGGGACUGGAGUGUGGGAGAGGUUGGUGGAAUUCCCAGUGUAGAGGUGAAAUUCGUAGAUAUUGGGAAGAACACCGGUGGCGAAGGCGGCCAACUGGACCACAACUGACGCUGAGGCGCGAAAGCCAGGGGAGCAAACGGG